Molecule: long non-coding RNA, 625 nt
Filed under: Pogona vitticeps (central bearded dragon)
Lineage: Eukaryota; Metazoa; Chordata; Lepidosauria; Squamata; Agamidae
Description: lncRNA (ENSPVIG00000012241.1)
Source: RNAcentral
CCUUUACCUCAGGCAGAAAAAUGUCCUGACCCAUCUACACCAGUGGGUGUGCAAUGUCAUUUGUCCAGAUAUCCACGGAGCCAAUGGAGAGAUGAAGAAAGCUGAAUUCUGCUUGAAGAAAAGUUUGACCUAUGAUGAGGAAAACAACCGCAGCAAAUCCAAAGUCAGUGAUGUUUGUGAAGAUCUCUGGACUAGAGCCUCAGCUAAGGAAAGGAAAACACAGCAGGUUGUCAGCCAGCCUAGAUUAAAAAGAAAAAAGGAAGAAGCAGAAGAAGCAGAAGCAGCUGCAGCAAUGGCAGGAGUGAAAUCGAUCAUGACAAAAUGGACAGGCAGGCAUGACUUCCAAUGUUUACAACACCCUAACAGAAUAUAUGAUUGAUCAUUUUUUCCCCAUUUUGCUCUGAUGAGCACCUCAUUUGUCAUUUGCACACAGCUCUGUGGCUCGUUUCCAGCCUGUUAGAGCCUUAAUGCGGCCAUAAGUGUGUCACAGAGCCUUGCUAUUGUAGUGCCCCUGGCCAGAAUCACACAAAACCUCUUGUCUCUCAGAAAGUGGAAAGGGAGCCUGUUGCUGUGCAUGGAGUCAAAGCAACCCUCUCAUCGAAGGCCUCCGUGCCAAACAGCAGGU